Molecule: long non-coding RNA, 220 nt
Filed under: Sus scrofa (pig)
Lineage: Eukaryota; Metazoa; Chordata; Mammalia; Artiodactyla; Suidae
Description: lncRNA (ENSSSCG00030048777.1)
Source: RNAcentral
GAUGGACUGGGUCGAGCAGAGGAGUCAUCUGAUUCACCGUACAGGACAGCGUCCAGCCUUCACGCCGGGACGUCCUCCAGGGACGCCGUCGGGAGUCACAGGCUUCAGGAAGCAAAACUAAAUCAAGGGACUAAGGAUGAGUGAAGAUAAAAGUGAAAGAGUCGGGAGUUCCUGGGCUACAGGUCAAAUCGGAGCUGCACCUGCCGGCUACACCACAGCC